RNA transcript from Ficedula albicollis (Collared flycatcher), 3003 nucleotides. It is a transcript of the gene named archain 1, with no coding region annotated. The transcript is spliced from 11 exons. The record is from RefSeq and is a predicted model, not a curated record. Lineage: Eukaryota; Metazoa; Chordata; Aves; Passeriformes; Muscicapidae.
GCUUCUGCAACAAAUAUGGUGCUGUUGGCAGCCGCCGUGUGCACGAAGGCAGGGAAGGCCAUCGUGUCCCGGCAGUUCGUGGAGAUGACUCGCACCCGCAUCGAGGGGCUGCUGGCAGCAUUCCCAAAGCUGAUGAACACGGGGAAGCAGCACACGUUUGUAGAGACGGAGAGCGUGCGAUAUGUCUACCAGCCCAUGGAGAAGCUCUACAUGGUGCUGAUUACCACCAAAAACAGCAACAUCCUGGAAGACCUGGAAACACUCCGACUCUUCUCUAGAGUGAUCCCUGAAUAUUGUCGAGCUCUGGAAGAGAAUGAGAUCUCAGAACACUGCUUUGACCUAAUCUUUGCCUUUGAUGAAAUUGUCGCCCUGGGCUACCGUGAGAAUGUAAACUUGGCACAAAUUCGGACCUUCACUGAAAUGGACUCACAUGAGGAAAAGGUCUUUCGGGCAGUCAGAGAGACGCAGGAGCGCGAAGCGAAAGCCGAGAUGCGCCGUAAGGCGAAGGAGCUGCAGCAGGCCAGGAGGGAUGCAGAGAGACACGGCAAGAAGGCACCAGGCUUUGGGGGCUUCGGCAGCUCGGCCGUGUCUGGGGGCGUGACAGCAAUGAUCACAGAGACCAUCAUUGAGACUGAGAAGCCCAAAGUGGCACCAGCUCCAGCCAGGCCUUCAGGUCCCAGUAAAGCCUUGAAACUCGGUGCUAAAGGGAAGGAGGUGGACAACUUCGUGGACAAGCUGAAAUUGGAAGGAGAAAAUAUCAUGACUUCUGUAGGCAAGCGCUCUGUAGAAGCAGCCAAAGUUCUUGCUCCUCCCAUUAACAUGGAGAGCGUGCACAUGAAAAUAGAGGAGAAAAUCUCCUUGACUUGUGGCCGUGAUGGAGGGUUGCAGAACAUGGAGCUGCAUGGCAUGAUCAUGCUGCACAUCUCUGAUGAAAAGUUUGCACGGAUUCGCCUGCAUGUAGAAAAUGAAGACAAGAGGGGAGUGCAGCUACAGACUCACCCAAACGUGGACAAGAAGCUCUUCACUACAGAGUCACAGAUCGGUUUGAAGAACCCAGAGAAGUCAUUCCCUAUUAACAGCGACGUGGGCGUGCUGAAGUGGAGGUUGCAGACUACAGAAGAGUCCUUCAUUCCAUUGACAAUUAACUGCUGGCCGUCAGAGAGUGGGAACAAUUGUGAUAUUAACAUUGAAUAUGAGUUGCAAGAAGAGAGCCUAGAGCUGAAUGAUGUGAUCAUCACCAUCCCCUUGCCGUCUGGUGUUGGUGCCCCAGUGAUUGGGGAGAUUGAUGGUGAGUAUCGCCACGACAGCCGGAGAAACCUCCUUGAGUGGUGCCUGCCAGUGAUAGAUGCCAAAAACAAGAGCGGUAGCCUGGAGUUCAGCAUAGCAGGGCAGCCAAACGACUUCUUCCCAGUGCAGGUCUCCUUCAUCUCCAAAAAGAACUAUUGCAACAUACAGGUUACCAAAGUGACCCAGGUAGACGGGAACAGUCCUGUAAGGUUUUCCACUGAAACCACCUUCCUGGUGGACAAGUACGAAAUCCUGUAAUGCCAGAUGUGGUGAUGCACAAUGGAAGAAAUUUUUAAAUUAAAAAAAAACGAGGCCGACGUUUAUUCUGAAUGUUGGGAAUGCCACAGCCCCCUCUGCUAAGACACGUGGCUCUGUCUGCCAUCUACAGUGUUCCUGGGUCACAGACAUUUUUUGCAGAGAAGUGAUGUGCUCAUGGGGGGAAAAGGCCACAAAUUUCUUUGGCAGAUUUUUACCGACUGGCAAAAAAGCAAGAUCUCCGCAAAGAGUCUGAUUUUGACAUGCCCCCCGAGAUGCUCAGAGCUCAGCCCAGAGCCAACCAGACAUCGCUCUCUUCUCUCCUGAAGCAUCACAUGCUGUUCCAUUGUUGGUGCUGCCAUUUUAAUUUCUCCUUGGCCUCUGAUUCUCAUUCGUGGGGCCACCUGCUGGUCCUGACCCUUCCAUCUGGUGGAAGCUGAGCAAUUUGACCUUGGCCUCAGAGGUGGGGGGGUUAUGGCAGGGGCAUGGGGUGGGGAAGAGGGACCCAGGGGUUCAGUCCUUUUGCCCCACAGUUACUGCUGUUCCUCCAGCUCUGCUGUGUGGCAGUGGCCCAGCUCCAGUCUGGUUCCUGCUGCAGCAGGGAGAGUGUCCAGUGGGGACUGUGUCCUUGCUGUCUCCACAGGCCAGGUUUUGGAGGAAGUUUAGUUUGGUUAGAACUGGCUGUAUAUCCUUUGCAAGGCUGUUUUGGUGUCUGGGGAGGCUGAGGGCUUUGCCUGCCUGGGUGAAAAGAGCUGUAGAGCCUGGUUGACUUACUUGGCCUGUGUGUCAGGACCUGUCUCAAACCAGCAUUGGUUCAGCACUGGCAGGUGUAGGAGAAGGAAAUGCUGGUUUCCGGGUAAUGUGGGGGCUGAUCCGAGCCGUUUCUCCUACUGCAGCCUCACUAGUGUUAUUUGCCUCAUCUCGGAGACCUGUGCUCCCCUCGCAACUCAUCUCACCUGCAUGGCUGGGGCCUGUCAUAAGGGUCACCUGUCCCUGGGCACACCUCACCCAGACAGCCCGAGUGCAGGUGGAAGGCAACAGCCCUAAAGUGUGUGUACUGUGCUCUGUGAGAGACAGCCAGCCUGUCACGGGCCCCUGGGGUCCUCUGCCAAAGAAGUUCCUGGUCUCUCCUCUGUUGGCAGCACCUGAGAAGAAAUCAACCCUGGUCCUGUCCUGAAAGGGCAAAGCCCUCUCCCCUAGUAAAGUAGGCAAUGAAUCCUAUUAACCCAGUCUUGUUCCAGAGCUGCUUGUCUGUAUGAUUUUUAAAAUGGAGUCAAAGUUAGUUCAAGCAUCCAAGGAGCUUUUUUUUUUUUUCCUUAUAUUCAUUGGAGGGUGAUAUUUAAACCGAGCCGAGGUCCCCACUUUUUGUAACCCUGUAUGAUCCUGGCCUAGGGAAUAGAGCACAUUCCAGUGUACACAGAGAAUUCUGAGUCUUUAAUCAAAUAAAGUACUGUUAAAGGA